This 478-nucleotide ribosomal RNA is filed under the name uncultured bacterium. RNAcentral describes it as "partial 16S ribosomal RNA". It matches the Rfam family "Bacterial small subunit ribosomal RNA", at positions 28 to 523 of the family's 1533-position model. The record is from RNAcentral.
GACGAACGCUGGCGGCGUGCUUAACACAUGCAAGUCGAACGGUAAGGCCCUUCGGGGUACACGAGUGGCGAACGGGUGAGUAACACGUGGGUGAUCUGCCCUGCACUUCGGGAUAAGCCUGGGAAACUGGGUCUAAUACCGGAUAGGACCACUGCCUGCAUGGGUGGGGGUGGAAAGCUUUUGCGGUGUGGGAUGGGGCCGCGGCCUAUCAGCUUGUUGUGGGGGUGAGGGCCUACCAAGGCGACGACGGGUAGCCGGCCUGAGAGGGUGGCCGGCCACACUGGGACUGAGUUACGGCCCAGACUCCAACGGGAGGCAGGAGUGGAGAAUAUUGCACAAUGGGCUCAAGCCUGAUGCAGCGACGCCGCGUGAGGUAUGACGGCCUUCGGGUUGGAUACCUCUUUCAGCACCGACGAAGCGCAAGUGACGGUAGGUGCAGAAGAAGGACCGGCCAACUACGUGCCAGCCGCCGCCGUAA